Molecule: ribosomal RNA, 231 nt
Filed under: uncultured bacterium SB7
Lineage: Bacteria
Description: partial 16S ribosomal RNA
Rfam family: Bacterial small subunit ribosomal RNA
Source: RNAcentral
GUUUGAUCCUGGCUCAGAUUGAACGCUGGCGGCGUGCCUAACACAUGCAAGUCGAGCGGUAACAGGUGUAGCAAUACAUGCUGACGAGCGGCGAACGGGUGAGUAAUGCUUCGGAAUCUACCUUAUGGUGGGGAAUAACUAGCCGAAAGGUUAGCUAAUACCGCAUACCUCCUACGGGAGGCAGCAGUACUGCUGCCUCCCGUAGGAGGUCCUGAGCCAGGAUCAAACUCU